UGGGAUUUCUUUGAACCUGAUACUGAGAGGU
Molecule: non-coding RNA, 31 nt
Filed under: Mus musculus (house mouse)
Lineage: Eukaryota; Metazoa; Chordata; Mammalia; Rodentia; Muridae
Source: RNAcentral